CACACUACCUUGGGCUUUUGAAAUCCACACAGUAGUUGAACUGGAAAUCUAAGAUAGGCCCUGAGUGAUGUCUGGUUGUAAAUAGAUUAGUUUGUUCUACUGACUCUCUGCAUGGGAUAUCCUGACAGAAGAAUAUCAUCUAAUCAGCUACAUGAAGCAGCAACAAGCUUGCUCAGGAACAGCUCAGUACCUCCACACUGCUCUGCAUGUUGCAGGGGACAUUGUAAAUAUACUCUAACUACCACUGUUGCAAAUGGCUGCACUGAAAACCCUCUACCUAGAAUGGAUGUCACCAAGAAACAAGAGACUAAGCUGGGAAUCCUGUGUGGAGUUUUACAGGAAAGAGAUGGGCAAAGCCCCUAGUGCUCCUAGAAGCAGUUUUAUGGUCAAUCAUUAAGUUAGUCCACUCCUUGCUUGGUCUUCAGAUUAUGGUGUACCAGUGUCAUACUUCUAAGUUUUUCAAGAUAGAAGAUUUUUGUGUAUGGAAGAAAAACACGAGCAAGAUGAUAAGGAAGAGCAAGAGAAAUGUGAACUUCAUGAGAUAAUUCUUCAUGUAGGCAUUUCUUGUUGUCUUAUAAAAAUAUACCACUUAAGAUCUGGCUGCAAAAGCUCAUAUACAUAACCCCGUUGACAUAUAUAUCUCAAUUAAAAUCAAGAG
Long non-coding RNA from Lagopus leucura (white-tailed ptarmigan), 658 nucleotides. RefSeq lists it as uncharacterized. The record is from RefSeq and is a predicted model, not a curated record. Lineage: Eukaryota; Metazoa; Chordata; Aves; Galliformes; Phasianidae. The transcript is spliced from 3 exons.